GGCUUCGUAGCUCUGGUGGUUAGAGCGUUGGCUUUAAUAAUUGGCUGUCUCCUUGCUGUCGUGGGUUCAAAUCCCACCGGGGCCA
RNAcentral lists this transfer RNA (85 nucleotides) under Schistocephalus solidus. It matches the Rfam family "tRNA". From Rfam's summary of the family: Transfer RNA (tRNA) molecules are approximately 80 nucleotides in length. Their secondary structure includes four short double-helical elements and three loops (D, anti-codon, and T loops). Further hydrogen bonds mediate the characteristic L-shaped molecular structure. tRNAs have two regions of fundamental functional importance: the anti-codon, which is responsible for specific mRNA codon recognition, and the 3' end, to which the tRNAs corresponding amino acid is attached (by aminoacyl-tRNA synthetases). tRNAs cope with the degeneracy of the genetic code in two manners: having more than one tRNA (with a specific anti-codon) for a particular amino acid; and 'wobble' base-pairing, i.e. permitting non-standard base-pairing at the 3rd anti-codon position. The record is from Rfam by way of RNAcentral. Lineage: Eukaryota; Metazoa; Platyhelminthes; Cestoda; Diphyllobothriidea; Diphyllobothriidae.